This 78-nucleotide transfer RNA is filed under the name bacterium. Its description in RNAcentral is "tRNA-Arg". It matches the Rfam family "tRNA". Rfam says of the family: Transfer RNA (tRNA) molecules are approximately 80 nucleotides in length. Their secondary structure includes four short double-helical elements and three loops (D, anti-codon, and T loops). Further hydrogen bonds mediate the characteristic L-shaped molecular structure. tRNAs have two regions of fundamental functional importance: the anti-codon, which is responsible for specific mRNA codon recognition, and the 3' end, to which the tRNAs corresponding amino acid is attached (by aminoacyl-tRNA synthetases). tRNAs cope with the degeneracy of the genetic code in two manners: having more than one tRNA (with a specific anti-codon) for a particular amino acid; and 'wobble' base-pairing, i.e. permitting non-standard base-pairing at the 3rd anti-codon position. The record is from RNAcentral.
GCUCCUAUAGCUCAGUUGGAUAGAGCAACAACCUUCUAAGUUGUGGGUCCCUAGGUUCGAAUCCUGGUGGGAGUACUA